Molecule: ribosomal RNA, 723 nt
Filed under: uncultured Variovorax sp.
Lineage: Bacteria; Pseudomonadati; Pseudomonadota; Betaproteobacteria; Burkholderiales; Comamonadaceae
Description: bacterial SSU rRNA
Rfam family: Bacterial small subunit ribosomal RNA
Source: RNAcentral
CGCUGGCGGCAUGCCUUACACAUGCAAGUCGAACGGCAGCGCGGGAGCAAUCCUGGCGGCGGGUGGCGAACGGGUGAGUAAUACAUCGGAACGUGCCCAAUCGUGGGGGAUAACGCAGCGAAAGCUGUGCUAAUACCGCAUACGAUCUACGGAUGAAAGCAGGGGAUCGCGAGACCUUGCGCGAAUGGAGCGGCCGAUGGCAGAUUAGGUAGUUGGUGAGGUAAAGGCUCACCAAGCCUUCGAUCUGUAGCUGGUCUGAGAGGACGACCAGCCACACUGGGACUGAGACACGGCCCAGACUCCUACGGGAGGCAGCAGUGGGGAAUUUUGGACAAUGGGCGCAAGCCUGAUCCAGCCAUGCCGCGUGCAGGAUGAAGGCCUUCGGGUUGUAAACUGCUUUUGUACGGAACGAAACGGCCUUUUCUAAUAAAGAGGGCUAAUGACGGUACCGUAAGAAUAAGCACCGGCUAACUACGUGCCAGCAGCCGCGGUAAUACGUAGGGUGCAAGCGUUAAUCGGAAUUACUGGGCGUAAAGCGUGCGCAGGCGGUAAUGUAAGACAGUUGUGAAAUCCCCGGGCUCAACCUGGGAACUGCAUCUGUGACUGCAUUGCUGGAGUACGGCAGAGGGGGAUGGAAUUCCGCGUGUAGCAGUGAAAUGCGUAGAUAUGCGGAGGACACCGAUGGCGAAGGCAAUCCCCUGGGCCUGUACUGACGCUCAUGCA